Molecule: ribosomal RNA, 380 nt
Filed under: uncultured eukaryote
Lineage: Eukaryota
Description: partial 18S ribosomal RNA
Rfam family: Eukaryotic small subunit ribosomal RNA
Source: RNAcentral
CAAUAGCGUAUAUUAAAGUUGUUGCGGUUAAAAAGCUCGUAGUUGGAGUUCUGCCAGGUGCCGCCUGUCCGCCCCAGUGGUGAGUACGUGGCGCGCAUUUGGCCCUUUCAAGGGGAGCGUAUCUGCACUUUAUUGUGUGGUGCGGGAUCCUUGACUUUUACUUUGAGGAAAUAGGAGUGUUCCAAGCAGGCUCUCGUCGUGCACAGCUCAGCAUGGAAUAAUAGCAUUGGACCUCGAUUCUAAGCUGUUGGUUGCCAGAAGCGAGGUAAUGAUGAAGAGGGAUAGUUGGGGGCAUUCGUAUUUAACUGUCAGAGGUGAAAUUUUUGGAUUUGUUAAAGACGGACUACUGCGAAAGCAUCUGCCAUGGAUGUUUUCAUUGA